GGUUAAGUGAAUAAGGGCGCACGGUGGAUGCCUUGGCACUAGGAGCCGAUGAAGGACGGGACUAACACCGAUAUGCUUUGGGGAGCUGUACGUAAGCUAUGAUCCAGAGAUUUCCGAAUGGGGGAACCCAACAUCUU
RNAcentral lists this ribosomal RNA (137 nucleotides) under Enterococcus faecium. RNAcentral describes it as "partial 23S ribosomal RNA". It matches the Rfam family "Bacterial large subunit ribosomal RNA", at positions 1 to 137 of the family's 2925-position model. Lineage: Bacteria; Bacillati; Bacillota; Bacilli; Lactobacillales; Enterococcaceae. The record is from RNAcentral.